GAUGAACGCUGGCGGCGUGCCUAAUACAUGCAAGUCGAGCGAACAGACGAGGAGCUUGCUCCUCUGACGUUAGCGGCGCACGGGUGAGUAACACGUGGAUAACCUACCUAUAAGACUGGGAUAACUUCGGGAAACCGGAGCUAAUACCGUAUAAUAUAUUGAACCGCAUGGUUCAAUAGUGAAAGACGGUUUUGCUGUCACUUAUAGAUGGAUCCGCGCCGGAUUAGCUAGUUGGUAAGGUAACGGCUUACCAAGGCAACGAUGCGUAGCCGACCUGAGAGGGUGAUCGGCCACACUGGAACUGAGACACGGUACAGACUCAUACGGGAGGCAGCAGGAGGGAAUCUUGCGCAAUGGGCGAAAGAUUGACGGAGAAACGCGGCGUGAGUGAGGAAGGUCUUCGGAUGGUAAAACACUGUUAUUAGGGAAGAACAAAUGUGUAAGUAACUAUGCACGUCUUGAAGGUACAUAAUCAGAAAGCCACGGCUAACUAAGUG
This 497-nucleotide ribosomal RNA is filed under the name uncultured bacterium. RNAcentral describes it as "partial 16S ribosomal RNA". It matches the Rfam family "Bacterial small subunit ribosomal RNA", at positions 28 to 507 of the family's 1533-position model. The record is from RNAcentral.